AUUUUCAUAAAACAUGACCAAGUAUUGUCUGACCAUUUUAGAACAUAUUCACACUUUCGAGUGACCUUACAAAAUUAUCCUUUCCCAUUGUAAUUUUCAAACCUAAAUAAGAGUUCACAUUUUAUAAUGAACUAAAUGUAAAACAUAGGUAAUCAUCAUUUCAAUGGAUGGAAUGAAAAAGCUCGGACAUAGUUUGUGAGGAC
RNAcentral lists this long non-coding RNA (203 nucleotides) under Mytilus galloprovincialis (Mediterranean mussel). The record is from RNAcentral. Lineage: Eukaryota; Metazoa; Mollusca; Bivalvia; Mytilida; Mytilidae.